RNAcentral lists this ribosomal RNA (738 nucleotides) under uncultured Geastraceae. RNAcentral's name for it is "eukaryotic LSU rRNA". The stretch from base 227 to 381 matches the Rfam family "5.8S ribosomal RNA". Lineage: Eukaryota; Fungi; Basidiomycota; Agaricomycetes; Geastrales. The record is from RNAcentral.
GAGGUAAAAAGUCGUAACAAAGUUUUCGGUAGGGGGACCCUGGGGAAGGAUCAUUANUGAAAGAUAAUAGGGGUUUGAGACUGCAUCCUAARAUUGGUGUGUGCUCGACUCUUACUCUUUUAAUCCACAUACACCUUUUGUGCACUAUGGGACGAUUAAAGUCCCCUUAUUUACACAAACACUUGGUUAUAUGCAUGUAUUUUAAUACUCUGUUGAGUAAAUAUACAACUUUCAACAACGGAUCUCUUGGCUUUCGCAUCGAUGAAGAACGCAGCGAACGUGCGAAACGUAAUGUGAAUUGCAGAAUUCAGUGAAUCAUCGAAUCUUUGAACGCAUCUUGCGCUCCUUGGCAUUCCGAGGAGCAUGCCUGUUUGAGUGUCGUGAACUACUCUCAAUUUCAAUCUUUACUGAUUGAAAUUGGAUUUGGAUGGUGUUGUGAAAGAAAAUCAUGACUGAUCCUAAAUGCAUUAGUGGUCUGAAUUAAUCAUAUGCAAUGUGAUAAGAAAAGGCAUUGUUAAGAUUAAAGGCAGAUUGCUUCUAAACAACUAAUUACAUGUCAUUUGACCUCAAAUCAGGUAGGACUACCCGCUGAACUUAAGCAUAUCAAUAAGCGGAGGAAAAGAAACUAACAAGGAUUCCCUUAGUAACGGCGAGUGAAGANGGAAAAGCUCAAAUUUGAAAUCUGGCGGCUUACGGUCGCCCGAGUUUGUAAUCUAGAGAAGUGUUUUCCGCUCUGGA